CAGAAGGUGUCUAGAGGUUGAUUGCUUGUAUAGCUAUGAAAAAGAUUAAAUGCUGGGGCUCUGUGUUGCAUUUAUUGAGAAGUAUUGGCUUGUCAGUGACCUGCACCUCUUCCACCUUGCUUCAGAGCUCAGGUCCCUCUGGGCAGCAUUAGGACCACAGGCAGGCUCUGAGAUUGUGGUUUUAAGAGUCUCUUCAUUCCUUCUCUUGCUGGAGCCUACCAAAAAUGCACCUGGCCACAGCUCUUUAAAGACGUGGCUCAUGGAUAGAGAGGAAUGGAGGGAGCUGGAGGAGAGGCCUGGAGGCAGGAGAGGCUGUCUGAGAAAGUACUUCAGCCCUCCCCGGUGAGAUCAGGUUAUCAUCACGGAGAGACUUGUUUUAAGAAGGUGCCACUUCCACACGGCUCUGGAACACCUCCAGGGACGGUGACUGCCCCACCUCCCUGGGCAGUCUGUGCCACUGCCUCCACCGCUCUUCCUGAGGAGAAAUUGUUCCUAAUAUCCAACCUGUUGUGGCUUCUUGUGAGCAGCUCCGUGGUGCAGUUAUGCAGCAGCUCAGGCCCUGCCUGCUGGUGCCAGCUGCACUGCUGCUCAGUCAGCGUGAAAGGAAUUGAUUCUGCUCAGCUUUCUUUAUUUUUUAUUUCAGCUCCCCUGCUGCACGGUUUCUUGGAGCUUUUUUGCCCCACAGUUAAGAUUCCCCACGCAGAUUCACACCAUACCCCUGCAGACCGCGAGUUAUCGAAGCUCAUACAGCACAUCCAAUCAACCUGAAAGGCUGGCUGAGUUACCCGCAUCACUGCUUCACUUCAGUGUUUCUCACACCUUCGUCCUGAAGGAAGGACACAAAGAUGUUACUCUGAUUGUCUUUGGUUUCUUCAGUUUUUCAUCCCCCUUCGAGUUGCACAGGCACCGAAGUAAAGGUGAGCCCACCUGCCAGUCUCUGGGACCCAAGUUUGGCUGUGUUUGGCUGCUUCCAUCAUACUCCACACAACGAAAUUAGGUCAUGACUUUUUGCCUCCCAGAGCUCCUCUAUGCACUGACUGGAGGCACCUUGAAGCUUAGCACAGAAUACCACGCCGAAGCCUUAGGAAUGAAAAGCAAAUAACAGCCACGGUUCGGUAGCGAAGCAGCGCUCACUUCUGUAAUUUCUGACCUUUCAUUUUAGACGUGCGCUUACAAAACGAAGCUGUCAGAAUCCCAUUUUCCUGCUCCAAGUGAAAGGCUAUUGUCUGGAUCGCAGCCUCCUCCAGCCCUCCUCCACGCAUGGCUCCGCGUUGUUUUCC
Molecule: long non-coding RNA, 1280 nt
Organism: Gallus gallus (chicken)
Lineage: Eukaryota; Metazoa; Chordata; Aves; Galliformes; Phasianidae
Source: Ensembl